RNAcentral lists this ribosomal RNA (464 nucleotides) under Vreelandella stevensii. RNAcentral's name for it is "partial 16S ribosomal RNA". It matches the Rfam family "Bacterial small subunit ribosomal RNA", at positions 338 to 795 of the family's 1533-position model. Lineage: Bacteria; Pseudomonadati; Pseudomonadota; Gammaproteobacteria; Oceanospirillales; Halomonadaceae. The record is from RNAcentral.
CCUACGGGGGCAGCAGUGGGGAAUAUUGGACAAUGGGCGAAAGCCUGAUCCAGCCAUGCCGCGUUUGUGAAGAAGGCCUUCGGGUUGUAAAGCACUUUCAGUGGGGAAGAAAGCCUUGGGGCUAAUACCCUCGAGGAAGGACAUCACCCACAGAAGAAGCACCGGCUAACUCCGUGCCAGCAGCCGCGGUAAUACGGAGGGUGCGAGCGUUAAUCGGAAUUACUGGGCGUAAAGCGCGCGUAGGCGGUCUGAUAAGCCGGUUGUGAAAGCCCCGGGCUCAACCUGGGAACGGCAUCCGGAACUGUCAGGCUAGAGUGCAGGAGAGGAAGGUAGAAUUCCCGGUGUAGCGGUGAAAUGCGUAGAGAUCGGGAGGAAUACCAGUGGCGAAGGCGGCCUUCUGGACUGACACUGACGCUGAGGUGCGAAAGCGUGGGUAGCAAACAGGAUUAGAUACCCCGGUAGUC